AGUGAACGCUGGCGGUAGGCCUAACACAUGCAAGUCGAACGGCAGCACAGGAGAGCUUGCUCUCUGGGUGGCGAGUGGCGGACGGGUGAGGAAUACAUCGGAAUCUACUCUGUCGUGGGGGAUAACGUAGGGAAACUUACGCUAAUACCGCAUACGAUCUACGGGUGAAAGCAGGGGACCUUCGGGCCUUGCGCGAUUGAAUGAGCCGAUGUCGGAUUAGCUAGUUGGCGGGGUAAAGGCCCACCAAGGCGACGAUCCGUAGCUGGUCGCGAACGAUGAUCAUCCACACUGGAACUGAGACACGGUCCAGACUCCUACGGGAGGCAGCAAUGGGGAAGAUUGGACAAUGGGCGCAAGCCUGAUCCAGCCAUACCGCGUGGGUGAAGAAGGCCUUCGGGUUGUAAAGCCCUUUUGUUGGGAAAGAAAUCCGGCUGGCUAAUACCCGGUUGGGAUGACGGUACCCAAAGAAUAAGCACCGGCUAACUUCGUGCCAGCAGCCGCCGUAA
This 506-nucleotide ribosomal RNA is filed under the name uncultured bacterium. Its description in RNAcentral is "partial 16S ribosomal RNA". It matches the Rfam family "Bacterial small subunit ribosomal RNA", at positions 29 to 523 of the family's 1533-position model. The record is from RNAcentral.